UACGUAGGUGGCAAGCGUUAUCCGGAUUUACUGGGUGUAAAGGGCGUGUAGGCGGGUCUGCAAGUCAGACGUGAAAUUCCAGGGCUCAACCGUGGAACUGCGUUUGAAACUGUAGAUCUUGAGUGAUGGAGAGGCAGGCGGAAUUCCGUGUGUAGCGGUGAAAUGCGUAGAUAUACGGAGGAACACCAGUGGCGAAGGCGGAUUGCUGGACAGUAACUGACGCUGAGGCGCGAAAGCGUGGGGAGCAA
RNAcentral lists this ribosomal RNA (248 nucleotides) under uncultured Ruminiclostridium sp. RNAcentral's name for it is "partial 16S ribosomal RNA". It matches the Rfam family "Bacterial small subunit ribosomal RNA", at positions 524 to 771 of the family's 1533-position model. Lineage: Bacteria; Bacillati; Bacillota; Clostridia; Eubacteriales; Oscillospiraceae. The record is from RNAcentral.